This 496-nucleotide ribosomal RNA is filed under the name uncultured bacterium. Its description in RNAcentral is "partial 16S ribosomal RNA". It matches the Rfam family "Bacterial small subunit ribosomal RNA", at positions 29 to 507 of the family's 1533-position model. The record is from RNAcentral.
AUGAACGCUGGCGGCGUGCCUAAUACAUACAAGUCGAGCGAACGGACGAGAAGCUUGCUUCUCUGAUGUUAGCGGCGGACGGGUGAGUAACACGUGGAUAACCUACCUAUAAGACUGGGAUAACUUCGGGAAACCGGAGCUAAUACCGGAUAAUAUUUUGAACCGCAUGGUUCAAAAGUGAAAGACGGUCUUGCUGUCACUUAUAGAUGGAUCCGCGCUGCAUUAGCUAGUUGGUAAGGUAACGGCUUACCAAGGCAACGAUGCAUAGCCGACCUGAGAGGGUGAUCGGCCACACUGGAACUGAGACACGGUCCAGACUCCUACGGGAGGCAGCAGUAGGGAAUCUUCCGCAAUGGGCGAAAGCCUGACGGAGCAACGCCGCGUGAGUGAUGAAGGUCUUCGGAUCGUAAAACUCUGUUAUUAGGGAAGAACAUAUGUGUAAGUAACUGUGCACAUCUUGACGGUACCUAAUCAGAAAGCCACGGCUAACUACGUG